CGCGCAGGCGGUUUGGUAAGUCAGAUGUGAAAGCCCACGGCUUAACCGUGGAAGUGCAUUUGAAACUGCCAGACUUGAGUACCAGAGGGGAAAGUGGAAUUCCCGGUGUAGAGGUGAAAUUCGUAGAUAUCGGGAGGAAUACCGGUGGCGAAGGCGACUUUCUGGCUGAGUACUGACGCUGAGGCGCGAAAGCGUGGGGAGCAAACAG
This 208-nucleotide ribosomal RNA is filed under the name uncultured delta proteobacterium. RNAcentral's name for it is "partial 16S ribosomal RNA". It matches the Rfam family "Bacterial small subunit ribosomal RNA", at positions 568 to 775 of the family's 1533-position model. Lineage: Bacteria; Deltaproteobacteria. The record is from RNAcentral.